Small nuclear RNA from Otolemur garnettii (small-eared galago), 107 nucleotides. The record is from Ensembl. Lineage: Eukaryota; Metazoa; Chordata; Mammalia; Primates; Galagidae.
GUGCUCGCUUCGGCAGCACGUGUACUGAAAUUGGAGCAAUACUGAGAAGAUUAGCAUGGCCUCUGGGCAAGAAUGACAUGCAGAUUCGUGAAACAUUCCAUAUUUUU